RNAcentral lists this ribosomal RNA (344 nucleotides) under uncultured bacterium. RNAcentral's name for it is "bacterial SSU rRNA". It matches the Rfam family "Bacterial small subunit ribosomal RNA", at positions 136 to 493 of the family's 1533-position model. The record is from RNAcentral.
GAGGGGGAUAACAGCCGGAAACAGCUGCUAAUACCGCAUGAAACAUUUGGGUCGCAUGAUCCGGAUGUCAAAGAGUAACAUCGCGCAUAGAUGAGCUCGCGUCUGAUUAGAUAGUUGGUGGGGUAACGGCCUACCAAGUCGACGAUCAGUAGCCGGACUGAGAGGUUGAACGGCCACAUUGGAACUGAGAAACGGUCCAGACUCCUACGGGAGGCAGCAGUGGGGAAUAUUGGGCAAUGGGCGAAAGCCUGACCCAGCGACGCCGCGUGAGGGAAGAAGGUCUUCGGAUUGUAAACCUUUGUAAGCAGGGAAGAAGGAAGUGACGGUACCUGCAGAGUAAGCCA